RNAcentral lists this long non-coding RNA (1074 nucleotides) under Callithrix jacchus (white-tufted-ear marmoset). RNAcentral describes it as "lncRNA (ENSCJAG00000085528.1)". Lineage: Eukaryota; Metazoa; Chordata; Mammalia; Primates; Cebidae. The record is from RNAcentral.
UGGGACUGUGUGUAGUGAACCCAUGUAUUGUGCAAAGGAUGGAGAAUAGGUCACCUCCCCGACUCCCGUGAGUUUUUUUUUUUUUUUUGAGAUGGAAUUUCGCUCUUGUUACCCAGGCUGGAGUGCAAUGGCGCGAUCUCAGCUCACUGCAACCUCCGCUUCCUGGAUUCAGGCAAUUCUCCUGCCUCGGCCUCCCAAGUAGCUGGGAUUACAGGCAUGCGCCACCAUGCCCAGCUAAUUUUUUGUGCUUUUAGUAGUGAUGGGGUUUCACCAGGGUGGUCUCAACCUCUUGACCUCAUGAUCCACCCGCCUCAGCCUCCCAAAGUGCUGGGAUUACAGGCUUGAGCCACCGCGCCUGGCCCCCCAUAAGUUACCUACAGGCACUCGAGAGUAUUCCACAGAGAUGACAACUAAAGAGAGGAACUCACCCAGCUAGCCUGAAAAACUGAUUUCACUGACUGCUGCUGGAAGCCCUCACCUCUAGCCCCACAAGACAAAGCCUGGUGACUUAGUUUCAUGUCCAUCAAUUUCCCUCUCACACUUCAUCAAGCAUUACUUCCCGAGACAGAAUUGAUGGCUGUGUCUUCAGGCCCCAGUCGUCAUUCUUGGGUCUCUCUAUUCUUGACUAGAUCCUGAGUUUGUGAAGAGCAGAACUUUCCACUCUACCUCAAGAUCCUUCAGAACCUCGCUCAGGGUCUUCUGCCUUGUGGCCACUCAAUAAAUAUUAUUGUUUUGGCUUUUACAGAUGCUGUCACUGAGGCCCAAAGCAACUAAAUGGCUUUUCCGGGGCUUGUUAGUGGCUGGGCCAGAACAGGAUGGCAGCUCCUUCUUUCAGAGGAAAAGCUCACUGUUUGCAGCACCGCAACCUCCGCCUCCUGGGUUCAGGCAAUUCUCCUGCCUCAGCCUCCUGAGUAGCUGGGAGUACAGGCACGCGCCACCAUGCCCAGCUAGUUUUUUAUAUUUUGAGUAGAGACGGGGUUUCACCAUGUUGACCAGGAUGGUCUCGAUCUCUUGGCCUCGUGAUCCACCCGCCUCGGCCUCCCAAAGUGCUGGGAUUACAGGCUUGAGCCACCG